UACGUAGGGUGCGAGCGUUGUCCGGAAUUAUUGGGCGUAAAGGGCUCGUAGGCGGUCUGUCACGUCGAUCGUGAAAACUUGGGGCUUAACCCUGAGCUUGCGGUCGAUACGGGCAUGACUGGAGUUCGGCAGGGGAGACUGGAAUUCCUGGUGUAGCGGUGAAAUGCGCAGAUAUCAGGAGGAACACCGGUGGCGAAGGCGGGUCUCUGGGCCGAUACUGACGCUGAGGAGCGAAAGCGUGGGGAGCGAACAGG
RNAcentral lists this ribosomal RNA (254 nucleotides) under uncultured bacterium. RNAcentral describes it as "partial 16S ribosomal RNA". It matches the Rfam family "Bacterial small subunit ribosomal RNA", at positions 524 to 776 of the family's 1533-position model. The record is from RNAcentral.